UCUAUUAAUUUCACUUGAUCCGUUCAUCGAUGAACAGGGCCUUCUAAGAUUUGGGGGCCGCAUUUCAACAGCAAGGGUAGAUCAGAAGGAAAAGUACCCUCUAAUUGUUCCUGGCAAGCACCACAUUGGAUCCUUACUAGUAAGGCACUAUCACCAAAAAACCCAACAUCAAGGACGCUUCUUCACUGAAGGAGCUAUCCGCACAGCAGGCCUGUGGAUCAUUGGAGGCAAGAGGCUCAUAAAUAGUAUCAUAUACCACUGUGUCCUUUGUCGGAAACUUCGUGGCUACCUUCAGACUCAGAAAAUGUCUUGCCUUCCAUCAGACAGGUUGUGUACAGAUCCUCCAUUUACCAAUGUAGGCCUCGAUGUAUUUGGCCCAUGGCCGGUCUGUGCUCGUCGGACGAGGGGAGGUUUGGCACAUGACAAAAGGUGGGCAGUGAUUUUCACUUGUCUUAGUGUCAGGGCUGUCCAUAUUGAAGUAAUUGAGUCACUGAACACAUCUAGUUUCAUAAGUGCCCUCAGGUGCUUUGUUGCUCUGCGAGGUCCAAUGAAACAAAUUCGCUCAGAUUGUGGGACAAAUUUCAUUGGGGCAUGUAAAGAGCUUCAGAUCUCAUCGAACCUUGAGAACGAAACUGUUAAAAAAUAUCUAGCAGAAAACGGGUGCUCCUGGACAUUUAACCCACCUCAUGCUUCCCACAUGGGUGGUUCCUGGGAAGGGAUGAUAGGAAUAGCAAGGAGAAUACUAGACAGCAUGCUCCUUUAGUUGGGUCACACAAAACUAACUCAUGAAGUUCUCACUACCUUAAUGGCUGAAGUAUCUGCCAUCAUUAAUGCUAGACCACUGGUGCCAGUAUCCACUGAUCCUAGUUAACCAUUUCUCCUUACACCUUCCAUUCUCCUCACGCAGAAAGAGUGCACACCUGUCGCUCCUGCUGGUGAUUUUGGAACUAAUGACCUUUUCAACGUCAGUGGCGCCAGGUCCAACAUCUGUCAAAUACAUUUUGGGACAGAUGGAGGAAACAGUAUCUAUGCUCACUACAGACCUGUAGGAAGUGGCAACCCGAACAGCCCAACAUGGAGCCAGGCAGCAGUGUGCUCCUCAAAGAUAGCCAAGCUAAAAGAAAUGAAUGGCCGAUGGGGAUAGUUACUCAGGUGUUUCCAAGCAAAGAUGGAAAAGUCCGCAAGGUGGAAAUAAGGAUUCCUAAACAAGAUGGCACAAGGCUUUUUCUUAGACCUGUAACAGAGACUGUUUUACUCUUACCUCCUGAAUCUACAUAAGGUGAUGUGUUGGUUAAAGAGUCAUUUAGUGGUGGCGUUCAAUCACGCCAGACGGGGAGUGUUCUGUUACAGUUAUUGUUAAAUAAUAAUUAAAAUCUAAUUGUGUGUUAAUAGUUGUCUCCCCCUAAUGGACGUCUUGAUAAUCAUAUAUUGUAGUGUUACCAUGUGACUAAUCAGAUGACCAACAAGGAAGUUAGCAUUUUCCAUGAUGUGCAGUUUUGAACAUGUGCUAUAGUGAAUCGGCAACAAUCCGUAUUCCUCCAUGGCCUUUGGUAGCUUCGUCGGUAUGUUUAUUGUUCCUUAUUCAUGUAGCAUUAAUAACAUUUGAUUAUUUGUUGGAUUGGUAAUUUAUAUGUUUGUUUAUAUAUGUACCUUUUUUGCAUGGGAAAGAGAGCUGUAAUGUUCCUUUGCUUACUAUGAUAUACCUGGUAAAAUCGAUAUGGAGGGAUAUAGCAUUUGUAAGUGUUUACUUGUGUGAGUGUGUAUAUUGAAAGUGGAUUUUAUUAUUUAUUGUUUUCUUUCUUUAUCUCCUAGUUUUACCUAUCCUUAUUAAAGCUUGAAAAGAGGCAUAUCGUGUCUGUGAUUUGAUGAGGGUGGAGUUUAGCUUGCUGUCGAAAUAUACAGAGGACGUAUAUAGAGGACAGUACAGUGGGAGUGCAUGGUGGUGCAAAAGACAGGAUUGUGUGCCAGAUUCACUCAUUCUGGAGGACAUUUCUACUGCUACAGAGGAACCUGUACACCUACAGAGAGAGAGAGAGAGAGAGAGAGAGAAAUUUAUCAAUUAUUGGAAUUUAAGUUAAUUAUUAAAUUAAUAUUAUAAACAAGAUUUUAAAACUAUGUAAAUCCAAACAGGAAAAAAUUACACAAUGCCUCUCCCUAAUGCAGGAGUGAAAAUGUAUGUUGCCUAGAAUUUAGGAAAUAUUGUACCCUAUAUUUUGACACUGAAAAUAGUGUAUUUCUGGAUUGACUUGGAUUUUGAAGGGAGGAUGUGAGCAAGCAGGUGCUCUUGGGGGUGUGCAGAGGAGCACAGGGGAUUAAAAAAGAAAAGAAUAAAGUUGUAAAGAGCU
Molecule: long non-coding RNA, 2345 nt
Organism: Silurus meridionalis
Lineage: Eukaryota; Metazoa; Chordata; Actinopteri; Siluriformes; Siluridae
Exons: 2
Source: RefSeq, a predicted model, not a curated record